CCUACGGGUGGCAGCAGUGAGGAAUAUUGGUCAAUGGACGAGAGACUGAACCAGCCAAGUAGCGUGAAGGAUGACGGCCCUAUGGGUUGUAAACUUCUUUUAUGUGGGGAUAAAAUGUGCCACGUGUGGGAUUUUGUAUGUACCAUAUGAAUAAGGACCGGCUAACUCCGUGCCAGCAGCCGCGGUAAUACGGAGGGUGCGAGCGUUAAUCGGAAUUAUUGGGCUUAAAGGGCUCGUAGGCGGUAUGUCAAGUCAGCGGUGAAAUCCCCGGGCUCAACGUUGGAACUGCCGUGGAAACUGGCAAACUUGAGUGUGCGAGAGGAUAGUGGAAUUCGAGGUGUAGCGGUGAAAUCCUUAGAUAUCUCGAGGAACAUCAGUUGCGAAGGCAACUAACGGGCACGUGACUGACGCUGAGGCGCGAAAGCGUGGGUAGCAAACAGGAUUAGAUACCCUUGUAGUC
This 460-nucleotide ribosomal RNA is filed under the name uncultured bacterium. RNAcentral describes it as "partial 16S ribosomal RNA". It matches the Rfam family "Bacterial small subunit ribosomal RNA", at positions 338 to 795 of the family's 1533-position model. The record is from RNAcentral.